AGUGAACGCUGGCGGUAGGCCUAACACAUGCAAGUCGAACGGCAGCACAGUAAGAGCUUGCUCUUACGGGUGGCGAGUGGCGGACGGGUGAGGAAUACAUCGGAAUCUACUUUUUCGUGGGGGAUAACGUAGGGAAACUUACGCUAAUACCGCAUACGACCUACGGGUGAAAGCAGGGGAUCUUCGGACCUUGCGCGUUUGAAUGAGCCGGUGUCGGAUUAGCUAGUUGGCGGGGUAAAGGCCCACCAAGGCGACGAUCCGUAGCUGGUCUGAGAGGAUGAUCAGCCACACUGGAACUGAGACACGGUCCAGACUCCUACGGGAGGCAGCAGUGGGGAAUAUUGGACAAUGGGCGCAAGCCUGAUCCAGCCAUACCGCGUGAGUGAAGAAGGCCUUCGGGUUGUAAAGCCCUUUUGUUGGGAAAGAAAAGCAGCAGGUUAAUACCCCGCUGUUCUGACGGUACCCAAAGAAUAAGCACCGGCUAACUUCGUG
This 492-nucleotide ribosomal RNA is filed under the name uncultured bacterium. RNAcentral's name for it is "partial 16S ribosomal RNA". It matches the Rfam family "Bacterial small subunit ribosomal RNA", at positions 29 to 507 of the family's 1533-position model. The record is from RNAcentral.